AUAAGCGGAGGAAAAGAAACCACAGGGAUUACCUCAGUAACGGCGAGUGAAGCGGUAACAGCUCAAAUUUGAAAGCUAGCUCUUUUAGGGUUCGCAUUGUAAUUUGUAGAAGAUGCUUCGGGUGUGGCCCCGGUCUAAGUUCCUUGGAACAGGACGUCAUAGAGGGUGAGAAUCCCGUAUGUGACUGGGUGCUUUCGCUCAUGUGAAGCUCUUUCGACGAGUCGAGUUGUUUGGGAAUGCAGCUCAAAAUGGGUGGUAAAUUUCAUCUAAAGCUAAAUAUUGGCCAGAGACCGAUAGCGCACAAGUAGAGUGAUCGAAAGAUGAAAAGCACUUUGGAAAGAGAGUUAAACAGUACGUGAAAUUGUUGAAAGGGAAGCGCUUGCAACCAGACUUGCGCGCUGAUGAUCAUCCGGGCUUCUGCCCGGUGCACUCGUCUGCGCUCAGGCCAGCAUCGGUUUCGGUGGUGGGAUAAAGGCCUUGGGAAUGUAGCUUCUUUCGGGGAGUGUUAUAGCCCUCGGUGCAAUGCCGCCUACCGGGACCGAGGACCGCGCUUCGGCUAGGAUGCUGGCGUAAUGGUUGUAAGCGACCCGUCUUGAAACACGGACCAAGGAGUCUAACAUCUAUGCGAGUGUUUGGGUGUCAAACCCAUACGCGUAAUGAAAGUGAACGGAGGUGAGAACCCUUAAGGGUGCAUCAUCGACCGAUCCUGAUGUCUUCGGAUGGAUUUGAGUAAGAGCAUAGCUGUUGGGACCCGAAAGAUGGUGAACUAUGCGUGAAUAGGGUGAAGCCAGAGGAAACUCUGGUGGAGGCUCGCAGCGGUUCUGACGUGCAAAUCGAUCGUCAAAUUUGCGUAUAGGGGCGAAAGACUAAUCGAACCAUCUAG
RNAcentral lists this ribosomal RNA (883 nucleotides) under Cadophora sp. Its description in RNAcentral is "partial large subunit ribosomal RNA". It matches the Rfam family "Eukaryotic large subunit ribosomal RNA", at positions 46 to 947 of the family's 3401-position model. Lineage: Eukaryota; Fungi; Ascomycota; Leotiomycetes; Helotiales; Ploettnerulaceae. The record is from RNAcentral.